RNAcentral lists this small nuclear RNA (158 nucleotides) under Sorex araneus (European shrew). RNAcentral's name for it is "U1 spliceosomal RNA (ENSSARG00000016447.1)". It matches the Rfam family "U1 spliceosomal RNA". From Rfam's summary of the family: U1 is a small nuclear RNA (snRNA) component of the spliceosome (involved in pre-mRNA splicing). Its 5' end forms complementary base pairs with the 5' splice junction, thus defining the 5' donor site of an intron. There are significant differences in sequence and secondary structure between metazoan and yeast U1 snRNAs, the latter being much longer (568 nucleotides as compared to 164 nucleotides in human). The record is from RNAcentral. Lineage: Eukaryota; Metazoa; Chordata; Mammalia; Eulipotyphla; Soricidae.
AUAGUAGAUUGGCUGGGUUGAUAGUAUGAUCAGGAAGGUGAUUUUUCUAUGACUAUAUUUGUCUAUUGUAUUUCAGAUGUUUUGCCCCCUGAAAUUUGUUCCAAUAUAAGAAAUCUUAUGCAUAAUUUCUGGUAGUGGAGAACUAAAUUCAGUUUCCU